AACAGGAUUAGAUACCCUGGUAGUCCAUGCCGUAAACGUUGGGCACUAGGUGUGGGGACCAUUCCACGGUUUCCGCGCCGCAGCUAACGCAUUAAGUGCCCCGCCUGGGGAGUACGGCCGCAAGGCUAAAACUCAAAGGAAUUGACGGGGGCCCGCACAAGCGGCGGAGCAUGCGGAUUAAUUCGAUGCAACGCGAAGAACCUUACCAAGGCUUGACAUGUUCUCGAUCGCCGUAGAGAUACGGUUUCCCCUUUGGGGCGGGAUCACAGGUGGUGCAUGGUUGUCGUCAGCUCGUGUCGUGAGAUGUUGGGUUAAGUCCCGCAACGAGCGCAACCCUCGUUCCAUGUUGCCAGCACGUAAUGGUGGGGACUCAUGGGAGACUGCCGGGGUCAACUCGGAGGAAGGUGGGGACGACGUCAAAUCAUCAUGCCCCUUAUGUCUUGGGCUUCACGCAUGCUACAAUGGCCGGUACAAUGGGUUGCGAUACUGUGAGGUGGAGCUAAUCCCAAAAAGCCGGUCUCAGUUCGGAUUGGGGUCUGCAACUCGACCCCAUGAAGUCGGAGUCGCUAGUAAUCGCAGAUCAGCAACGCUGCGGUGAAUACGUUCCCGGGCCUUGUACACACCGCCCGUCAAGUCACGAAAGUCGGUAACACCCGAAGCCGGUGGCCUAACCCUUGUGGGGGGAGCCGUCGAAGGUGGGACCAGCGAUUGGGACUAAGUCGUAACAAGGUAAGCCGU
Molecule: ribosomal RNA, 738 nt
Filed under: Micrococcus luteus
Lineage: Bacteria; Bacillati; Actinomycetota; Actinomycetes; Micrococcales; Micrococcaceae
Description: bacterial SSU rRNA
Rfam family: Bacterial small subunit ribosomal RNA
Source: RNAcentral